Molecule: ribosomal RNA, 500 nt
Filed under: uncultured bacterium
Lineage: Bacteria
Description: partial 16S ribosomal RNA
Rfam family: Bacterial small subunit ribosomal RNA
Source: RNAcentral
AUUGAACGCUGGCGGCAUGCCUUCCACAUGCAAGUCGAACGGCAGCACGGGAGCAAUCCUGGUGGCGAGUGGCGAACGGGUGAGUAAAGUAUCGGAACGUGCCCAGUCGUGGGGGAUAACGUAGCGAAAGUUACGCUAAUACCGCAUACGAUCUAUGGAUGAAAGCGGGGGAUCGCAAGACCUCGCGCGAUUGGAGCGGCCGAUAGCAGCUUAGGUAGUUGGUGGGGUAAAGGCUCACCAAGCCGACGAUCUGUAGCUGGUCUGAGAGGACGACCAGCCACACUGGGACUGAGACACGGCCCAGACUCCUACGGGAGGCAGCAGUGGGGAAUUGUGGACAAUGGGCGAAAGCCUGAUCCAGCCAUGCCGCGUGCAGGAUGAAGGCCUUCGGGUUGUAAACUGCUUUUGUACGGAACGAAAAGGUUUGGCCUAAUAAGCUGAGCUCAUGACGGUACCGUAAGAAUAAGCACCGGCUAACUACGUGCCAGCAGCCGCAGUAA